Molecule: ribosomal RNA, 253 nt
Filed under: uncultured bacterium
Lineage: Bacteria
Description: partial 16S ribosomal RNA
Rfam family: Bacterial small subunit ribosomal RNA
Source: RNAcentral
UACAGAGGGGGCAAGCGUUGUUCGGAAUUACUGGGCGUAAAGCGUGCGUAGGCGGUUUGUUAAGUCUGUCGUGAAAGCCCUGGGCUCAACCUGGGAAUUGCGAUGGAUACUGGCAAGCUAGAGUACGGUAGAGGAUGGUGGAAUUCCCGGUGUAGCGGUGAAAUGCGUAGAGAUCGGGAGGAACACCCGUGGCGAAGGCGGCCAUCUGGACCAGUACUGACGCUGAGGCACGAAAGCGUGGGGAGCAAACAGG